UUUCCGUAGGUGAACCUGCGGAAGGAUCAUUAACACGUUUCGUUCCGAACGUUUAUUUUCCACCCCACUCUCCGUGAUAAAACCGGCCUCCCGACCAAUUCAAGCGCCUGCCGCUUGUUAUUGUGCCGGGCGUCUUUGGGGUUCAUAGGAUGUCAGUUGUACGAAAGAAGUGUGAGCGCUUUGUGGCGUUCCGUUUCGGAGUAGUAUAACCGAGUACCUCCCAAGGGCGUUGCCAACCAACCAAACCCUUAAAUCUAAUUUUUCUGAUCUUAAGAUUUCGGUUCAUUCUGAAAUUGAAACAAAACAAAAAACAACUCUUAACAAUGGAUAUCUUGGUUCUC
RNAcentral lists this unclassified non-coding RNA (341 nucleotides) under plant metagenome. RNAcentral's name for it is "partial contains small subunit ribosomal RNA, internal transcribed spacer 1, and 5.8S ribosomal RNA". The record is from RNAcentral.